UUCUAUUUGCACCGCUGCGGUUUCAAAAUGUAAGCGAAAGCUGAAAUGAAUUAAAAGGGAACUCCGUGAAAGUCGGAGGCAGUUCCCGCUGCUGUAAGCCGAAUUUCUUUCAUUUUUUUUGAAAGAAAUAAGAUUUAAUCUAAUCCACUGUUGCCAAUAGCGCGAUGGGAAGGAAAAUCAAAAUCGGUGAGCCAGAAGACCUGCCAUAGCAAAACAAACAUU
This 222-nucleotide non-coding RNA is filed under the name Bacteroidota bacterium. The record is from RNAcentral. Lineage: Bacteria; Pseudomonadati; Bacteroidota.